This 400-nucleotide ribosomal RNA is filed under the name uncultured bacterium. Its description in RNAcentral is "bacterial SSU rRNA". It matches the Rfam family "Bacterial small subunit ribosomal RNA", at positions 362 to 776 of the family's 1533-position model. The record is from RNAcentral.
UAUUUGACAAUGGGGGGAACCCUGAUCCAGCGACGCCGCGAGAGUGAAGAAGUAUUUCGGGGUGUAAAGCUCUAUCAGCAGGGAAGAAAGAAAUGACGGUACCUGACUAAGAAGCCUCGGCUAACUACGUGACAGCAGCCGCGGUAAUACGUAGGGGGCAAGCGUUAUCCGGAUUUACUGGGUGUAAAGGGAGCGUAGACGGCGAUGCAAGUCUGAAGUGAAAGGCGGGGGCCCAACCCCCGGACUGCUUUGGAAACUGUAUGGCUGGAGUGCAGGAGAAGUAAGUAGAAUUCCUAGUGUAGCGGUGAAAUGCGUAGAUAUUAGGAGGAACACCAGUGGCGAAGGCGGCUUACUGGACUGUAACUGACGUUGAGGCUCGAAAGCGUGGGGAGCAAACAGG